Molecule: ribosomal RNA, 439 nt
Filed under: uncultured bacterium
Lineage: Bacteria
Description: partial 16S ribosomal RNA
Rfam family: Bacterial small subunit ribosomal RNA
Source: RNAcentral
CCUACGUGUGGCAGCAGUAGGGAAUCUUUCACAAUGGGCGAAAGCCUGAUGGAGCAACGCCGCGUGCAGGAUGAAGGCCUUCGGGUUGUAAACUGCUUUUAUAAGCGAGAAAUAUGAUGGUAACUUAUGAAUAAGGAUCGGCUAACUACGUGCCAGCAGCCGCGGUCAUACGUAGGAUCCGAGCAUUAUCCGGAGUGACUGGGUGUAAAGGGAGCGUAGGCGGGGAUGCAAGUUGGGUGUCAAAACUACCGGCUCAACUGGUAGUCGCACUCAAAACUGCAGCUCUUGAGUGAAGUAGAGGCAGGCGGAAUUCCUAGUGUAGCGGUGAAAUGCGUAGAUAUUAGGAGGAACACCAGUGGCGAAGGCGGCCUGCUGGGCUUUUACUGACGCUGAGGCUCGAAAGUGUGGGGAGCAAACAGGAUUAGAUACCCUGGUAGUC